Molecule: RNA transcript, 1808 nt
Organism: Petromyzon marinus (sea lamprey)
Lineage: Eukaryota; Metazoa; Chordata; Hyperoartia; Petromyzontiformes; Petromyzontidae
Gene name: phospholipid hydroperoxide glutathione peroxidase-like
Source: RefSeq, a predicted model, not a curated record
GUGAGGGGAGGGGUGAAGGGUGAGGGGAGGGGUGAGGGAGAGCACCACGUGAUGCAGGCGUUGCUGAGCUCGGUGAUCCGCACGGUCAAGCAAGGAGCGGGCGCAGUCGUGGCCUGCAGCAUGGCCUCGUCAGCAGCUGAGUCGUGGAAGGAGGCCAAGAGUCUGUACGAGUUUAGCGCCACUGACAUCGACGGUGCCAAGGUCUCUCUCGACAAGUACAGGGGUCACGUUUGCAUCGUGGUGAACGUGGCGACCAAGUGAGGGCGGACGCCCGUGAACUACAUCCAGCUGGCCGACAUGCACGCCCGGCUCGCUGGGGGGGAACACGGCCUCCGCAUCCUCGCCUUCCCCUGCAACCAGUUUGGUGGGCAGGAGCCGGGCACGGACGCGGAGAUAAAGGCGUUCGCCGAGGGCACGUACUCGGUCAAGUUUGACCUCUACAGCAAGGUGGAGGUGAACGGGGACGGCGCCCACCCGCUGUGGCGCUGGAUGAAGAGCCAGCCCAACGGCAAGGGCACGCUGGGGAAUAACAUCAAGUGGAACUUCACCAAAUUCCUCAUUGAUAAGGAGGGCCACGUGGCCAAGAGAUACGGGCCCAUGGACGACCCCGUGGUGAUCGAGAAGGACCUCUCCAAGUUCUUGUAAGCGCUCCUGAGAAGCCACGAGGCCGCCAGUGUAUCCGGCCAGUCUCUCAAGCCCCUGACCUCUCUGACCCCUGAGCCCUGCCCCCUGCCCCCCCCCCCCCCCUCUCGGCCUGGGCCUAUGACGAGCGGCCUCACAAACCGGGCGACCGGUGGAGGCUGCCCCGAGCCUUUCCGGGCGUGCAAAUUUAACCAGGCCGGUGAGGGGAGGGGGGGGAGGUGGUGGUAACGGAAGACGAGGGGUGGGGCGAUGGCUUACGUGGCGUGUGUGUGUAGACGUAGGUGUGUGGAAGGGGGCGCGUUGUCUGUGCGCGUACGAUAAUGUCUGUGCCUGAGGUUGCGUGCGUAGGAGAGCGCAUGCACGGAUGUGUGUAGGCGUGUGUGCGCGCGUACGAGUGUGUAUACGAGCGCAUCUACGUACGUGCGUGUGCAUUAUAAGUGCGGGUGGGUGUGUGCGUGGGUCAAACGAGACCGUGUAUUGGACACAUGAGUACGCACGUGAGUACGAGUGUGUGCAUCUGUGCCUCCUGGUGCGUGCAUGAGUGUACGUGUGGGUACGAGUGUGUGGGAGCGUGCAUAUGACUGUACGUACGUUGAACUUCUUUCGCACCACCGUACCUAGCCAACUGCGCUCAUCGGAGGUGUGGGGGGAAGGAGAAAGCUACACAAAGAGAGGUUCUAAAGAAAUUCGUUUUCAAUCUGCGUGCAAAAAACGCAAACUCUACUCGCUCAUUCACACUGCAUGUGUGUGCAUACGAAUGCAUACGUGUGUGCAUCUGUGGGGAGCGGUAGUUUAGCGGUUAGCACCAUGCGCUACAAACCCGGCCACCUGCGUCCGAUUCCCGUUCACAGCCAACACCAGUGAGUAUUAUCUAAACUGGUCCUGGGCCUCCCAUAGGUCGACUCAGCAUGCAAUGAGUACCUGGUGCAGUGUGUAAACACCGCCACUGGGGAGACAAAGGCGGCCGGGCGUAUUCACUGGCCACUCACCACAUCGUGUGCCGUACCGGCCUUUCUUAGGUUCUGCUCACUAAUGGCACUUGCCCCAACAGUCUUAAGGCUAUACGGCGGUUCUUUUUUUUUCCUCUGUUAAGGUGUGGAUGUGUGAACUGAUGAAAGCCCCCUUCGAGUAGUUGGAUGCACGGUUGGAUUAAAGCUUUGACCCUU